Molecule: ribosomal RNA, 472 nt
Filed under: uncultured bacterium
Lineage: Bacteria
Description: partial 16S ribosomal RNA
Rfam family: Bacterial small subunit ribosomal RNA
Source: RNAcentral
GACGAACGCUGGCGGCGUGCUUAACACAUGCAAGUCGAACGCUGAAGCUUGGUGCUUGCCCUGGGUGGAUGAGUGGCGAGCGGGUGAGUAAUACGUGAGUAACCUGCCCUUGACUCUGGGAUAAGCCUGGGAAACUGGGUCUAAUACUGGAUACGACAUGUCACCGCAUGGUGGUGUGUGGAAAGGGUUUUACUGGUUUUGGAUGGGCUCACGGCCUAUCAGCUUGUUGGUGGGGUAAUGGCUCACCAAGGCGACGACGGGUAGCCGGCCUGAGAGGGUGACCGGCCACACUGGGACUGAGACACGGCCCAGACUCCUACGGGAGGCAGCAGUGGGGAAUAUUGCACAAUGGGCGGAAGCCUGAUGCAGCGACGCCGCGUGAGGGAUGACGGCCUUCGGGUUGUAAACCUCUUUCAGCACGGAAGAAGCGAAAGUGACGGUACGUGCAGAAGAAGCGCCGGCUAACUACGUG